AUGCCAGAAGGGUUUAAUGCUACUUCAAUUGUGCUAAUUCCAAAAGUUUCAAAUCCUACUAAGCUUUCGGAGUAUAGGCCUAUAAGCCUCUGUAAUGUGGUAUAUAAAGUGAUCUCGAAGUGCUUGGUUAACAGAUUGAGACCCCUCAUGGAUGAUCUUAUUUCUCCGGAACAGAGUGCAUUCAUCCCAGGGAGGAUGAUUGCGGACAAUGCUCUCGUAGCUUUUGAAUGCAUCCACCACAUAAAGCAAGAAAAGGAUCCAACUAGGAGUUUCUGUGCAUAUAAGUUGGAUCUGUCCAAAGCUUAUGAUAGGGUGGAUUGGAUCUUUUUGAGGCAAGUGAUGCAAAAGAUGGGUUUCUCUCAACGAUGGGUUGACUGGAUUAUGGCAUGUGUCACGUCGGUGAGAUACUCUAUGAAUUUUAACGGAACCCUCUUGGAUUCGUUUGCGCCGUCGCGUGGACUACGGCAAGGAGAUCCUUUAUCACCACUCUUAUUUUUGUUUGUGGCAGAUGGGCUAUCAUCUUUACUGGGAAAGAAGGUGGAGUCAGGAGAUAUUACUCCGGUGACAGUGUGCAGGAAUGCACCCGGUAUAUCACAUUUGUUGUUCGCUGAUGAUACACUCCUGUUUUUUGAGGCGUCCAAAAACCAGGCUGAGAAGGUGAAGCAAGUCCUGGAUGCUUAUAGUAUGGCCACAGGGCAAACUCUCAACUAU
This 711-nucleotide ribosomal RNA is filed under the name Triticum aestivum (bread wheat). Its description in RNAcentral is "partial small subunit ribosomal RNA". Lineage: Eukaryota; Viridiplantae; Streptophyta; Magnoliopsida; Poales; Poaceae. The record is from RNAcentral.